Oryza sativa Indica Group (long-grained rice) is the source of this 142-nucleotide microRNA precursor. It matches the Rfam family "MIR812 microRNA precursor family", at positions 27 to 179 of the family's 205-position model. The record is from Rfam. Lineage: Eukaryota; Viridiplantae; Streptophyta; Magnoliopsida; Poales; Poaceae.
UCCAACUUUUGAUCGUCCGUCUUAUUUAAAAAAAUAAGAUUAUUAUUUUUAUUGUUAUUAGAUGAUAAAAUAUGAAUAAUGAUUUAUGUGUACUAUUUUUUUACUAAUCUAUUUUAAAUAAGAUGGAUGACCAAACGUUGGA